This 73-nucleotide transfer RNA is filed under the name Phycisphaerales bacterium. RNAcentral's name for it is "tRNA-Ala". It matches the Rfam family "tRNA". From Rfam's summary of the family: Transfer RNA (tRNA) molecules are approximately 80 nucleotides in length. Their secondary structure includes four short double-helical elements and three loops (D, anti-codon, and T loops). The record is from RNAcentral. Lineage: Bacteria; Pseudomonadati; Planctomycetota; Phycisphaerae; Phycisphaerales.
GGGGCGGUAGCUCAGCUGGUAGAGCGCAUCGUUCGCAAUGAUGAGGUCAGGAGUUCGAAUCUCCUUCGCUCCA